Molecule: ribosomal RNA, 441 nt
Filed under: uncultured bacterium
Lineage: Bacteria
Description: partial 16S ribosomal RNA
Rfam family: Bacterial small subunit ribosomal RNA
Source: RNAcentral
CCUACGGGGGGCAGCAGUGGGGGAUAUUGCACAAUGGGGGGAACCCUGAUGCAGCGACGCCGCGUGGGUGAAGGAGUGCUUCGGCAUGUAAAGCCCUAUCGGCAGGGAAGAAGCAAGACGGUACCUGACUAAGAAGCCCCGGCUAACUACGUGCCAGCAGCCGCGGUAAUACGUAGGGGGCGAGCGUUAUCCGGAUUCACUGGGUGUAAAGGGAGCGUAGACGGCCAAGCAAGCCAGGGGUGAAAGCCCGGGGCCCAACCGCGGGACUGCAUUGGGAACUACCGGGCUGGAGUGCCGGAGAGGUAGGCGGAAUUCCUAGUGUAGCGGUGAAAUGCGUAGAUAUUAGGAGGAACACCAGUGGCGAAGGCGGCCUACUGGACGGUGACUGACGCUGAGGCUCGAAAGCGUGGGGAGCAAACAGGAUUAGAUACCCGGGUAGUC